RNAcentral lists this ribosomal RNA (496 nucleotides) under uncultured bacterium. RNAcentral describes it as "partial 16S ribosomal RNA". It matches the Rfam family "Bacterial small subunit ribosomal RNA", at positions 29 to 507 of the family's 1533-position model. The record is from RNAcentral.
AUGAACGCUGGCGGCGUGCCUAAUACAUGCCAGUCGAGCGAACGGACGAGAAGCUUGCUUCUCUGAUGUUAGCGGCGGACGGGGGAGUAACACGUGGAUAACCUACCUAUAAGACUGGGAUAACUUCGGGAAACCGGAGCUAAUACCGGAUAAUAUUUUGAACCGCAUGGUUCAAAAGUGAAAGACGGUCUUGCUGUCACUUAUAGAUGGAUCCGCGCUGCAUUAGCUAGUUGGUAAGGUAACGGCUUACCAAGGCAACGAUGCAUAGCCGACCUGAGAGGGUGAUCGGCCACACUGGAACUGAGACACGGUCCAGACUCCUACGGGAGGCAGCAGUAGGGAAUCUUCCGCAAUGGGCGAAAGCCUGACGGAGCAACGCCGCGUGAGUGAUGAAGGUCUUCGGAUCGUAAAACUCUGUUAUUAGGGAAGAACAUAUGUGUAAGUAACUGUGCACAUCUUGACGGUACCUAAUCAGAAAGCCACGGCUAACUACGUG